GCCAGCAACUAUAUCACCCUGCAGCUCACCACUGGCAACCCACUGAAGCUAUGCAGGUGUGAGCCUGGUCAGUACCUGGAUGGGAGACAUCCUGGGAAAAACUAAGGUUGCUGCUGGAA
This is a ribosomal RNA of Lepisosteus oculatus (spotted gar), 119 nucleotides long. Lineage: Eukaryota; Metazoa; Chordata; Actinopteri; Semionotiformes; Lepisosteidae. The record is from Rfam.